ACAGCAGUAGCCGCGGGAAUACGAAGGGGGCUAGCGUUGCUCGGAAUGACUGGGCGUAAAGCGCGCGUAGGCGGCUUUUUAAGUCAGAGGUGAAAGCCCGGGGCUCAACCCCGGAAUUGCCUUUGAAACUGGAAAGCUAGAAUCUUGGAGAGGUCAGUGGAAUUCCGAGUGUAGAGGUGAAAUUCGUAGAUAUUCGGAAGAACACCAGUGGCGAAGGCGACUGACUGGACAAGUAUUGACGCUGAGGUGCGAAAGCGUGGGGAGCAAACAGGAUUAGAUACCCCAGUAGUCCCUGUCUCUUAUAC
This 305-nucleotide ribosomal RNA is filed under the name uncultured bacterium. RNAcentral describes it as "partial 16S ribosomal RNA". It matches the Rfam family "Bacterial small subunit ribosomal RNA", at positions 508 to 807 of the family's 1533-position model. The record is from RNAcentral.